RNAcentral lists this ribosomal RNA (440 nucleotides) under uncultured bacterium. RNAcentral describes it as "partial 16S ribosomal RNA". It matches the Rfam family "Bacterial small subunit ribosomal RNA", at positions 338 to 795 of the family's 1533-position model. The record is from RNAcentral.
CCUACGGGUGGCAGCAGUGGGGGAUAUUGCACAAUGGGGGAAACCCUGAUGCAGCGACGCCGCGUGUGGGAAGACGGUCCUCUGGAUUGUAAACCACUGUCCCCAGGGACGAAGAUGACGGUACCUGGGGAGGAAGCUCCGGCUAACUACGUGCCAGCAGCCGCGGUAAUACGGAGGAUGCGAGCGUUAUCCGGAUUUAUUGGGUUUAAAGGGUGCGUAGGCGGUCCGUUAAGUCAGCGGUAAAAUUGCGGGGCUCAACCCCGUCGAGCCGUUGAAACUGGCAGACUUGAGUUGGCGAGAAGUACGCGGAAUGCGCGGUGUAGCGGUGAAAUGCAUAGAUAUCGCGCAGAACUCCGAUUGCGAAGGCAGCGUACCGGCGCCAGACUGACGCUGAGGCACGAAAGCGUGGGGAUCGAACAGGAUUAGAUACCCCAGUAGUC